Molecule: long non-coding RNA, 1317 nt
Organism: Hemicordylus capensis (graceful crag lizard)
Lineage: Eukaryota; Metazoa; Chordata; Lepidosauria; Squamata; Cordylidae
Exons: 4
Source: RefSeq, a predicted model, not a curated record
GGCCUCAGUAAAGCCUGAACUCGAGUAGGCUGGCAAGCCCCAGGAAGAAGGCUUGCAGUCAGAGUGGCCACUACAGUUCUCUGCAGCAGACCCUCCUCCCAGGCCAGACAGCUCAGCCUUUGCCAGGAGCUCACAGAAAUGUGCCUAGUACUCUUCCCAUUUCAUUCUCACCAACAACUCCAUGAGGACUACAAUCCCACUUCCACAAGCAACACUAAGAAUUCUGUGCGAUCAGCUUUCAUAUUCCAAUAAGGUUUGAAAUCCCUAAAAGAGAGAGGUGCAAGUCUUAAAUUUGCCAUGGAGCCGAAUGAGGAACAUCAAGUUUCAUGGGAGAAAACAGCCUCUGCUCAGGCAAAACAGCUCAGGGAGAGGAGAGCUGCUCUUGUGGUGAUGAGCAUGAACUCUCCCCCUUUGCUAAGCAGGGUCUACCCUGGUUUGCAUUUGGAUGGAUAACUCCAUGUGAACGCUGUCAUAAUCCAAGGAGACAAUGGGGCGGGGAAUUCAAAAUGUUAUUGCUUCACAACUCAGCAGAUACUUCUACAGUCUGGUUGCUCUUUGUCUAAGCGCACUCUAAAAUUAUUCUGGGUCCGCCCCCAGAGUUCUGCUUCCCUUUCCCCAGAGUUCCACUAGGCUUUCCUUUUUAAAGUGAUAGUACUGCAUUAACAAUUAACAAAGAAUAACCAGACUGGAUUGCAUUUAUUUAUGUAUGUAUUUAGCAAAUUUAUUGACUGCCCGACUUCCAUAGACAUGAGGCAGUUUACAUAAAUUAAAACAACAAUGAAAAUAAGAGUGGGGGGAGGAAAAAAACAGACACACACAAUAAAAAUUAAACGCCUGGCAAAGUAAAUAAGUUUUCAAAAGCUUCUUAAAGAACAGAGGGGAGGUGGCAUUACAAAUCUCAGGAGGCAGGGUGGUAAUAGGUCAGUACAUUAGUGAUGUGCCCGGACUGGUCCGGAGGCCAUUCUACAGGCCUCCAGACCGGUGCGGACAUCAGCGGUUUGGGGUUUGGGUGGAAACAUAGGAAACUGCCAUAUACUGAGUCAGACCAUUGGUCUAUCUAGCUCAGUGUAGUCUUCACAGACUGGCAGUGGCUUCUCCAAGGUUGCAGGCAGGAAUCUCUCUCAGCCCUAUCUUGGAGAAGUCAGGAGGGAACUUGAAACCUUCUGCUCUUCCCAGAGCAGCUUCAUCCCCUGAGGGGAAGAUCUUGCAGUGCUCACACAUCAAGUCUCCCAUUCAGAUGCAACCAGGGCAGACCCUGCUUAUCUAUGGGUACAUAGCUAAGGCAUAGAAAGGCUUCAAGAAGCCUUUUGCACGUGC